GGGCCCGCACAAGCGGUGGAGCAUGUGGUUUAAUUCGAUGAUACGCGAGGAACCUUACCAGGGCUUAAAUGGGAAAUGACAGGGGCAGAGACGCCCCCUUCUUCGGACUACUUACAAGGUGCUGCAUGGUUGUCGUCAGCUCGUGCCGUGAGGUGUCAGGUUAAGUCCUAUAACGAGCGCAACCCCUGUUGUUAGUUGCCAUCGAGUAAUGUCGGGAACUCUAACAAGACUGCCGGUGCAAACCGUGAGGAAGGUGGGGAUGACGUCAAAUCAUCACGGCCCUUACGUCCUGGGCUACACACGUGCUACAAUGGCCGGUACAGAGAGCAGCCACUACGCGAGUAGGAGCGAAUCUAUAAAACCGGUCUCAGUUCGGAUCGGAGUCUGCAACUCGACUCCGUG
This 402-nucleotide ribosomal RNA is filed under the name uncultured bacterium. RNAcentral describes it as "bacterial SSU rRNA". It matches the Rfam family "Bacterial small subunit ribosomal RNA", at positions 917 to 1322 of the family's 1533-position model. The record is from RNAcentral.